GGAGUCGAUCUUUGUGGUGACCUCGGUGGUGAGAGUGGCUAUUUGUGCGGAUAGGUCAGUGGAUGGUGAUGCCACCUUAGCCAGCACAGUCUGUUCAGACUUAAUGAUAGCCGCCAUUACCUUGGCUAGGUGGGGGGAGUCCGUGUCCGGUGAGCCCGAGGCUUUAGGUCAGAGUCCGUGUCCGGUGAACCCGAGGCUUUAGGUCAGAGUCCGUGUCCGGUGAGCCCGAGGCUUUAGGUCAGAGUCCGUGUCCGGUGAACCCGAGGCUUUAGGUCAGAGUCCGUGUCCGGUGAGCCCGAGGCUUUAGGUCAGAGUCCGUGUCCGGUGAACCCGAGGCUUUAGGUCAGAGUCCGUGUCCGGUGAGCCCGAGGCUUUAGGUCAGAGUCCGUGUCCGGUGAACCCGAGGCUUUAGGUCAGAGUCCGUGUCCGGUGAGCCCGAGGCUUUAGGUCAGAGUCCGUGUCCGGUGAACCUGAGGCUUUAGUAGAGGCCUGCUCUUUUGUGACCUGUGGCCGUUGUUGUUUCGUCAUUUUACAAUGAAAAGGCCAAAAAUGUCUGAAAAAAUUGUCAAAUUAGUGAAUUGGGUUUGAUUUCGAAUUAAAUGUUACAAAAUGAACACGGUAGGAAAGGUGCAGGUCAAGUAUUAAUAGUAAAUUGUUCUCCCAGGAGCACCGAAAAAAC
This 679-nucleotide long non-coding RNA is filed under the name Salmo salar (Atlantic salmon). RNAcentral's name for it is "lncRNA (ENSSSAG00000082154.1)". The record is from RNAcentral. Lineage: Eukaryota; Metazoa; Chordata; Actinopteri; Salmoniformes; Salmonidae.